Anolis carolinensis (green anole) is the source of this 358-nucleotide non-coding RNA. It matches the Rfam family "7SK RNA". From Rfam's summary of the family: 7SK was discovered as an abundant small nuclear RNA in the mid-70s but a possible function has only recently been suggested. Two independent studies have found that 7SK RNA binds the CDK9/cyclin T complex (known as elongation factor P-TEFb). The record is from Rfam. NCBI's taxonomy places the organism in Eukaryota, Metazoa, Chordata, Lepidosauria, Squamata, Anolidae.
GGAUGUGAGGGUGAUCUGGCUGCGACAUCUGUCAUUCCAUUGAUGACUAGAGUUGAUUUGGCUGAUCUGGCUGGCUAGGUGGGUGUCCCCUUCCUCUCUCAUUGCUCCAUGUCUGUCCCUCCCAAAGCUGCAUGCUCAGUGGAAGAGGGUAACGUUCCAGGUAUAGAGGGAGUAUACCAAGGUCUCUAGUCUUCAGUCCCGGGUAUAUGAUAGCUGCGCUCCCCUGCUAGAACCUUCAAACAAGCUCAAGAAAUGUGAAUUCAGAAAUAUUUUAGUUGCUUAUUAUGUGAAUAAGGAAACAAAGACUAAUAUUGUAGUGAGCUUAAAUUAAUUUUAUCAAGUGAUAAAUGUAUAUACU